ACGCUGACAGAAUGCUUAACACAUGCAAGUCAACUUGAAUUUGGGUUUUUAACUUAGAUUUGGGUGGCGGACGGGUGAGUAACGCGUAAAGAACUUGCCUCACAGCUAGGGACAACAUUUAGAAAUGAAUGCUAAUACCUGAUAUUAUGAUUUUAAGGCAUCUUAGAAUUAUGAAAGCUAUAAGCACUGUGAGAGAGCUUUGCGUCCCAUUAGCUAGUUGGAGAGGUAACAGCUCACCAAGGCGAUGAUGGGUAGCCGGCCUGAGAGGGUGAACGGCCACAAGGGGACUGAGACACGGCCCUUACUCCUACGGGAGGCAGCAGUGGGGAAUAUUGGACAAUGGACCGAGAGUCUGAUCCAGCAAUUCUGUGUGCACGAUGAAGUUUUUCGGAAUGUAAAGUGCUUUCAGUUGGGAAGAAAAAAAUGACGGUACCAACAGAAGAAGUGACGGCUAAAUACGUGCCAGCAGCCGCGGUAAUACGUAUGUCACGAGCGUUAUCCGGAUUUAUUGGGCGUAAAGCGCGUCUAGGUGGUUAUGUAAGUCUGAUGUGAAAAUGCAGGGCUCAACUCUGUAUUGCGUUGGAAACUGUAUAACUAGAGUACUGGAGAGGUAAGCGGAACUACAAGUGUAGAGGUGAAAUUCGUAGAUAUUUGUAGGAAUGCCGAUGGGGAAGCCAGCUUACUGGACAGAUA
This 693-nucleotide ribosomal RNA is filed under the name uncultured Fusobacterium sp. RNAcentral's name for it is "bacterial SSU rRNA". It matches the Rfam family "Bacterial small subunit ribosomal RNA", at positions 33 to 739 of the family's 1533-position model. Lineage: Bacteria; Fusobacteriati; Fusobacteriota; Fusobacteriia; Fusobacteriales; Fusobacteriaceae. The record is from RNAcentral.